Molecule: ribosomal RNA, 270 nt
Filed under: uncultured archaeon
Lineage: Archaea
Description: partial 16S ribosomal RNA
Rfam family: Archaeal small subunit ribosomal RNA
Source: RNAcentral
CAGCUCUCCGAGUAGUGUGGACGUUUAUUGGGCCUAAAGCAUCCGUAGCUUGCUAGAUAAGUCCUCUGUUAAAUCCACCGAUUCAAUCGUUGGAUUGCGGGGGAUACUGUUUGGCUAGGGGACGGGAGAGGUCGACGGUAUUUCCGGGGUAGGGGUGAAAUCCUAUAAUCCCGGGAGGACCACCAGUGGCGAAGACUGUCGACUAGAACGCGCCCGACGGUGAGGGAUGAAAGCUGGGGGAGCGAACCGGAUUAGAGACCCGAGUAGUCC